Molecule: ribosomal RNA, 459 nt
Filed under: uncultured bacterium
Lineage: Bacteria
Description: partial 16S ribosomal RNA
Rfam family: Bacterial small subunit ribosomal RNA
Source: RNAcentral
CCUACGGGAGGCAGCAGUGAGGAAUAUUGGUCAAUGGACGAGAGUCUGAACCAGCCAAGUAGCGUGAAGGAUGACUGCCCUAUGGGUUGUAAACUUCUUUUAUAUGGGAAUAAAAUGUUCCACGUGUGGGCUUUUGUAUGUACCAUAUGAAUAAGGAUCGGCUAACUCCGUGCCAGCAGCCGCGGUAAUACGGAGGAUCCGAGCGUUAUCCGGAUUUAUUGGGUUUAAAGGGUGCGCAGGCGGAUUUUUAAGUCAGCGGUAAAAUCGUGGGGCUCAACCCCAUCCAGCCGUUGAAACUGGGGAUCUAGAGUGUGCGAGAGGUAUGCGGAAUGCGUGGUGUAGCGGUGAAAUGCAUAGAUAUCACGCAGAACCCCGAUUGCGAAGGCAGCAUACCGGUGCACAACUGACGCUCAGGCACGAAAGCGUGGGUAUCGAACAGGAUUAGAUACCCCGGUAGUC